This 253-nucleotide ribosomal RNA is filed under the name uncultured bacterium. Its description in RNAcentral is "partial 16S ribosomal RNA". It matches the Rfam family "Bacterial small subunit ribosomal RNA", at positions 524 to 776 of the family's 1533-position model. The record is from RNAcentral.
UACGGGGGGGGCAAGCGUUGUUCGGAAUUACUGGGCGUAAAGGGCUCGUAGGCGGCCAACUAAGUCGAACGUGAAAUCCCUCAGCUUAACUGGGGAACUGCGUCCGAUACUGAUUGGCUUGAAUCCGGAAGAGGGAUGCGGAAUUCCAGGUGUAGCGGUGAAAUGCGUAGAUAUCUGGAGGAACACCGGUGGCGAAGGCGGCAUCCUGGACCGACACUGACGCUGAGGAGCGAAAGCCAGGGGAGCAAACGGG